Non-coding RNA from Penaeus vannamei (Pacific white shrimp), 289 nucleotides. NCBI's taxonomy places the organism in Eukaryota, Metazoa, Arthropoda, Malacostraca, Decapoda, Penaeidae. The record is from RefSeq and is a predicted model, not a curated record.
AACAAGUCCGCUAUGAGCACCGUUUCCUGCCCUUCAGUGUUGUCAUGACACCUCCUCCAGUGCAUUAUGACCAGUUCCUUUCCAUGACUGACCUGUCCAAUUUCCCGCAGCCUGUGUCACCAGCCACACUCUACCAUGAUGCAAGAAAUCAUUUCUUCAAAGCACGCACUCUACUAGGACACCAUACAUGCACCCAGCAAUGAGGUCCAACAACUCCUGAAGGUGGUAAAGACCAACUUUGUGGUGAUGAAGCUCCUGGAAGGUGGGCACAAGGCGGAUGACCCAACUC